UUUAUACAAUGUUUAGAUUUAAAGUAUAAAUAUCUGCUAUAAUUAUUACUAUUCUUUAUCGACUGAUAUUCCUUAAAGUAUAUUGUAUUUCUCUUUGCAGCCUUCCCCUUCCUUUAACUACUCACCCUACAGCCUUUUGAGAUACUAAGAAGACUGUUGGAGGACAAUUCAUAGAUCAUAGAAUUCCUUGCCAACAAAGCGUUUUGAUGGGGUAUCCUUGGGAGCAGAGUGGUUUGAGUUGAUCAAGAGGAAAAUAACCGGCCUUUCUCCCAUCGGCUCAGUGCCCCCACCUCCAUGCGAAGUGGCGGCUCAGACUUUGGUGGCUCUCUUCACGACCCUGGUCCAGCUCUGAAACCCUGCCAUGCUCAAGGCCCAACCUAGCUUCACUCAGUGGUGGUCACUGGCCUCAAAGGUUUAUCAGUAUUUCCUCUUUGAAUCCUCACAGAUGCCAUUAUUUCUGGUUUACAGGUGCCUUAAAGAACCUAAGUGGUAGUGGAUGGGUCUGAAUU
This is a long non-coding RNA of Pipistrellus kuhlii (Kuhl's pipistrelle), 509 nucleotides long. RefSeq lists it as uncharacterized. NCBI's taxonomy places the organism in Eukaryota, Metazoa, Chordata, Mammalia, Chiroptera, Vespertilionidae. The record is from RefSeq and is a predicted model, not a curated record. The transcript is spliced from 2 exons.